CCUACGGGAGGCAGCAGUGAGGAAUAUUGGUCAAUGGGCGCUAGCCUGAACCAGCCAAGUAGCGUGAAGGAUGACUGCCCUAUGGGUUGUAAACUUCUUUUAUAUGGGAAUAAAGUGCAGUAUGUAUACUGCUUUGCAUGUACUUUAUGAAUAAGGAUCGGCUAACUCCGUGCCAGCAGCCGCGGUAAUACGGAGGAUCCGAGCGUUAUCCGGAUUUAUUGGGUUUAAAGGGAGCGUAGGCGGGUUGUUAAGUCAGUUGUGAAAGUUUGCGGCUCAACCGUAAAAUUGCAGUUGAUACUGGCAGCCUUGAGUACAGUAGAGGUAGGCGGAAUUCGUGGUGUAGCGGUGAAAUGCUUAGAUAUCACGAAGAACUCCGAUUGCGAAGGCAGCCUGCUGGACUGUAACUGACACUGAUGCUCGAAAGUGUGGGUAUCAAACAGGAUUAGAUACCCGAGUAGUC
This 460-nucleotide ribosomal RNA is filed under the name uncultured bacterium. RNAcentral describes it as "partial 16S ribosomal RNA". It matches the Rfam family "Bacterial small subunit ribosomal RNA", at positions 338 to 795 of the family's 1533-position model. The record is from RNAcentral.